UAGCGAUUUUGGUGUCUCAA
RNAcentral lists this non-coding RNA (20 nucleotides) under Arabidopsis thaliana (thale cress). Lineage: Eukaryota; Viridiplantae; Streptophyta; Magnoliopsida; Brassicales; Brassicaceae. The record is from RNAcentral.